Molecule: ribosomal RNA, 253 nt
Filed under: uncultured bacterium
Lineage: Bacteria
Description: partial 16S ribosomal RNA
Rfam family: Bacterial small subunit ribosomal RNA
Source: RNAcentral
UACGAAGGGGGCUAGCGUUGCUCGGAAUUACUGGGCGUAAAGCGCGCGUAGGCGGCUUUCUAAGUCGGGGGUGAAAUCCUGGAGCUCAACUCCAGAACUGCCUUCGAUACUGGAGAGCUCGAGUCCGGGAGAGGUGAGUGGAACUGCGAGUGUAGAGGUGAAAUUCGUAGAUAUUCGCAAGAACACCAGUGGCGAAGGCGGCUCACUGGCCCGGUACUGACGCUGAGGUGCGAAAGCGUGGGGAGCAAACAGG